AACGAACGCUGGCGGCAUGCCUAACACAUGCAAGUCGAACGAGACCUUCGGGUCUAGUGGCGCACGGGUGCGUAACGCGUGGGAACCUGCCCUUAGGUUCGGAAUAACUCCCCGAAAGGUGUGCUAAUACCGGAUAAUGUCUUCGGACCAAAGAUUUAUCGCCUUUGGAUGGGCCCGCGUUGGAUUAGCUAGUUGGUAGGGUAAAAGCCUACCAAGGCGACGAUCCAUAGCUGGUCUGAGAGGAUGAUCAGCCACACUGGGACUGAGACACGGCCCAGACUACUACGGGAAGCAGGAGUGGGGAAUAUUGGACAAUGGGGGAAAGCCUGAUCAAGCAAUGCCGCGUGAGUGAUGAAGGCCUUAGGGUUGUAAAGCUCUUUUACACGGGAUGAUAAUGACAGUACCGGGAGAAUAAGCUCCGGCUAACUCCGUG
RNAcentral lists this ribosomal RNA (433 nucleotides) under uncultured bacterium. RNAcentral's name for it is "partial 16S ribosomal RNA". It matches the Rfam family "Bacterial small subunit ribosomal RNA", at positions 29 to 507 of the family's 1533-position model. The record is from RNAcentral.